ACUGCCUGAUGGCGGGGGAUAACUACUGGAAACGGUAGCUAAUACCGCAUAACGUCGCAAGACCAAAGAGGGGGACCUUAGGGCCUCUUGCCAUCGGAUGUGCCCAGAUGGGAUUAGCUAGUAGGUGGGGUAACGGCUCACCUAGGCGACGAUCCCUAGCUGGUCUGAGAGGAUGACCAGCCACACUGGAACUGAGACACGGUCCAG
This 207-nucleotide ribosomal RNA is filed under the name uncultured bacterium. RNAcentral describes it as "partial 16S ribosomal RNA". It matches the Rfam family "Bacterial small subunit ribosomal RNA", at positions 125 to 334 of the family's 1533-position model. The record is from RNAcentral.